ACAAGCGGUGGAGCAUGUGGUUUAAUUCGAUGAUACGCGAGGAACCUUACCUGGGCUCAAAUGUAUGUUGACGUAUUCUGAAAGGGAUACUUCUUCGGACAAUAUACAAGGUGCUGCAUGGUUGUCGUCAGCUCGUGCCGUGAGGUGUCGGGUUAAGUCCCAUAACGAGCGCAACCCCUAUCAUUAGUUGCCAUCAGGUCAAGCUGGGGACUCUAAUGAAACUGCCUACGCAAGUAGUGAGGAAGGUGGGGAUGACGUCAAAUCAGCACGGCCCUUACGUCCAGGGCUACACACGUGCUACAAUGGCCGAUACAGAGGGCAGCUACCUGGUGACAGGAUGCAAAUCUCCAAAGUCGGUCUCAGUUCGGAUCGGAGUCUGCAACCCGACUCCGUGAAGUUGGAUUCGCUAGUAAUCGCGCAUCAGCCAUGGCGCGGUGAAUACGUUCCCGGGCCUU
RNAcentral lists this ribosomal RNA (455 nucleotides) under uncultured Sphingobacteriales bacterium. RNAcentral describes it as "bacterial SSU rRNA". It matches the Rfam family "Bacterial small subunit ribosomal RNA", at positions 925 to 1382 of the family's 1533-position model. The record is from RNAcentral. Lineage: Bacteria; Pseudomonadati; Bacteroidota; Sphingobacteriia; Sphingobacteriales.